RNAcentral lists this ribosomal RNA (231 nucleotides) under uncultured bacterium. RNAcentral describes it as "partial 16S ribosomal RNA". It matches the Rfam family "Bacterial small subunit ribosomal RNA", at positions 124 to 354 of the family's 1533-position model. The record is from RNAcentral.
CCUAGCCUGGGAGUGGGGAAUAACACAGAGAAAUCUGUGCUAAUACCGCAUAAUGCAGUUGAGUCGCAUGGCUCUGACUGCCAAAGAUUUAUCGCUCUUAGAUGGACUCGCGUCUGAUUAGCUGGAUGGCGGGGUAGAGGCCCACCAUGGCGACGAUCAGUAGCCGGACUGAGAGGUUGGCCGGCCACAUUGGGACUGAGACACGGCCCAGACUCCUACGGGAGGCAGCAG